RNAcentral lists this long non-coding RNA (1257 nucleotides) under Ursus maritimus (polar bear). RNAcentral's name for it is "lncRNA (ENSUMAG00000010913.1)". Lineage: Eukaryota; Metazoa; Chordata; Mammalia; Carnivora; Ursidae. The record is from RNAcentral.
CACGAGCAGGGGGAGGGGCAGAGAGGGAGGGGCAGAGGGAAAGGAAGAAGCAGUCUUCCUGUUGAGCAGAGAGCCUGACGCUGGGUUCAAUCCCAGGACCCUGGGAUCAUGACCUGAGCUGAAGGCAGACGCCUAACUGACUGAGCCACCCAGGCACCCAUGCUGGGGACAUUUCUAUCUGAUUCAAAGGUCCAAGUGCUUUGCACCCACUCCUAUACGUCUAUGCAUACACAUGCCUCCGUCCUGGGUAACACUGUCUCCCCACUUGCUGCUGCUCCUUCCAGUCCCCUGAUCGCUUAGGCGAGGCAGUAGCUACUCUUCGGGAGUCUGUGUGUAUCUUCACACCUAGUCGGAUCUCUUUCUACAAAAAAUGUAUUAUCCUGUUCAUUACCAAAACACCUGCUCACUGCUAUUUUCCAGAGUCCUGUUGGUAUGGUGGGGGGGGCAACACUACUCCAAAACAUCACCCUGCCCAGGCAGGACCCAGGCUGCGAAGCUGUUGACCACCAAGGAGAGGCAUCAUUGUGACAGGGUGAUGUGAUGACAUGAGCCCAAAGCCCAUUGAGGCUCAGCAGAGGGUCACACAGCAUCCCAACACACACGCCUCCUGCUAGCAGCAUGAUCUGGUAGGUCACGGCCAUGGCCAUAGGGUCCUGAUGGACAGAAAAAAGUUACGCUUGGGGCGCCUGGGUGGCUCAGUCAGUUGAGCAGCAGACUCUUAUUUGAGGCUCAGGUCAUGAUCUCAGGGUCGUGAGACCGAGCGGCACAUGAGGCUCUGUGCUUCGUGCAGAGUCUGCUUAGGACUCUCUCUCCCUCUUCCCCUGACCAUCCCCUCACUCCCUCUCUCUCUCUCUCAAAAAGAAAUGUUAUGAUUACAUGAUAUUGUAGUCUAUUAUUAAGCGUGCAAUAACAUGUCUAAAAAGACAAUGUACACACCUUAAUUUUAAAAAUACUUUUUUGCUAACAAAUGCUAACCAUCGUCUGAGCUUUCAGUGAGUCCUAAUCUUUCUGCUUCUGGAUGGUCUUGCCUCCGUGUUGGUGGCUGCUGUCUGGUCAGGGUGGUGGGUGCUGAAGACCAGGGGGCUGCGGCAACUUCUUAAAAUAACAGUGAGGUUGGCCACAUCGGUUGACUCUUCCUGUCACAACGUCUCUGUGGCAGGUGAUGCUGUGUGAUAGCGUUUUGCCCACAGGAGAACUGCUUUCAGAAUCAGAGUCGAUGCUCUCAAACCCUGCUGCGGCCCGAUCAGUGCAUGUGAU